CCGCCAGUUACCCGUAUAUUGGCUCACCCCCCGGUAAUACCAAAAAAUUAAGGUUUUGAGCAACACUGCUUGGAUUUUCACAAUUUGAUAUUGCUAGGAUACCAAACAAACCAUUAUUAAAAUAAACAAAACUUAUAAUGGAAAACCAAUAAAACAGUCAGUCCAGCUGGAAUUGUAUUUUUUGCACACACUAGAAGAAAGUCAUGUCUCCCAUUUCAAUGCAUUGUUUCUUGAUGUGCACGAUCGAUCGACUUCCGAUCCUGAUUGGACCACAUGCCGACAUCAAAUAUUUGAACACACUGAACAUUGUCCCCAACUCGGAGCAGGACAGGGCUUCCUGAAAACAAUCGAAAACUUCCUUACACUCCGAUUUUCACAUUGUCAACAAGCCUCCCGAACGCUGCUCGGCAAUCUGCAGAGGAUGCUCUUCGACACGACUCAGCUGGAUUCGUAGAAUUUCCUGUACAGGGAGUUUUCUCCGCUGCUUGAAAUUCCUUUUCUGCACCUCAUUACUUCACUCGCCGGAGUUACCGUGUGCUAUACCGAAACCUGGCUACAGUGUUUCAUUGCAGUAUUUCUGGUGUGCAGUCCCGCAUAAACGAGAAAAAUAAAUGGAUUAUUUGUACUAUAGUUUUAUAGUGCCGAUAGCUGGGUUCAACAA
Topomyia yanbarensis is the source of this 661-nucleotide long non-coding RNA. RefSeq lists it as uncharacterized. The transcript is spliced from 2 exons. NCBI's taxonomy places the organism in Eukaryota, Metazoa, Arthropoda, Insecta, Diptera, Culicidae. The record is from RefSeq and is a predicted model, not a curated record.